This is a long non-coding RNA of Sapajus apella (tufted capuchin), 311 nucleotides long. RefSeq lists it as uncharacterized. Lineage: Eukaryota; Metazoa; Chordata; Mammalia; Primates; Cebidae. The record is from RefSeq and is a predicted model, not a curated record. The transcript is spliced from 3 exons.
UUAAGAAUCAAUCACAGGAACCUACACCUGGUAACUGGGGCGCAGACCUCUUCAAGAAGGUAACAUCAAGUAAAUAAGUCAAGCAAAGGACUUCCUGCCAGUCUCUUCUGUGAGGCAUCAUAGACACUGAACAACCAGGACCACCCCAUGUUCAGAAAUCAGCUGGCCAAGUGACUCCAUUUGACUUGCAAAUCAGCCUUUUCUAAUAGGCUGAUAUUGCUGAGGCCUUAAUGGAAAUGGACAAAAAUUCUUUAGAAGGGGGGUACUUUUCCAUUGUAUGUUUCUAAUAAAGAUUGAAAAUUGUACUAUUA